RNAcentral lists this ribosomal RNA (277 nucleotides) under Pseudomonas sp. ATCC 13867. RNAcentral describes it as "partial 23S ribosomal RNA". It matches the Rfam family "Bacterial large subunit ribosomal RNA", at positions 1 to 272 of the family's 2925-position model. The record is from RNAcentral. Lineage: Bacteria; Pseudomonadati; Pseudomonadota; Gammaproteobacteria; Pseudomonadales; Pseudomonadaceae.
GUUAUAUGGUCAAGUGAAGAAGCGCAUACGGUGGAUGCUUGGCAGUCAGAGGCGAUGAAAGACGUGGUAGCCUGCGAUAAGCUUCGGGGAGUCGGCAAACAGACUUUGAUCCGGAGAUCUCUGAAUGGGGAAACCCACCUGGGAUAACCCAGGUAUCUUGUACUGAAUCCAUAGGUGCAAGAGGCGAACCAGGGGAACUGAAACAUCUAAGUACCCUGAGGAAAAGAAAUCAACCGAGAUUCCCUUAGUAGUGGCGAGCGAACGGGGACUAGCCCUU